Molecule: long non-coding RNA, 890 nt
Filed under: Phoenix dactylifera (date palm)
Lineage: Eukaryota; Viridiplantae; Streptophyta; Magnoliopsida; Arecales; Arecaceae
Description: long non-coding RNA (PDAC_LNC016954)
Source: RNAcentral
AUUUGUUCACUAUUACUUUAGGUCAAUCACUUAGGGAGAGGAGGGGGGGGGGGGGGGGGGUUGCUGCUUUUCUUCUAGGAAAAUGUGUAAUCCCCCAUGCUUUUGGAUGCUUAUGAACAAAUUUUGUCUUUAUCACUCAAUUCCACUAUUACGAAUAUACCGAUGCCUGUACUAGAGUUAUUAACAAAGUGUCCUUUGUCAAUUGUUUUAUGUUACUCCAGAUGUCAUAAGUUCUAAACAAAAGUGUAACAUCACUUGAUUCCAGUAAUCCCCAUACCGUUUAUUUGAGCUUUAGGCUUUAUGGAACCUUUUUUCCUCAAUUUGUAUCUAUCAACUGCUAUGUUAUUUGUCAAUGCAGGCUAUUAUCUAAUAUGUUCUCACAACACUCGUUCACAUGAAUCUUUUUCCCAACACAUUCCAGUAACCUCUCAGCUUCAGUGGCCUUAUAUUUUUUGUAUUGGGUGUGAUGAUACUGUCUUGUAUAAGCUCUCUAUCUAUAUAUUCUCUAAAGAUUAGAUUCAUAUGAAUUUCAAGCUUCUCUGGUUUACUUGUUUUUUAGCUAUAUCCUUCUUAGCUAUUACUAGCGUCCAUCUUACUUUUCACAUUUAUCCAUCUCUCUAUUUGCCAACCUUUUGAAAAAUACAACAAUUUUUCCCCUUAAUAUACUUGUAAUCAUUUUCUUUUAAGUUACUGGCAUUAACGAUCUUGCAACACCCUAGAAGCACAUUAUCAUCUUCAUGCACUCAUUAAAUUAAAUAUUAAGAUCUUGAGUUAAUUCUUUUGAGACGAUAUGCAUUCAUAAGUUUUUAAUAAUGCUUUGACACAGCUGUAGUGUUAUUUUGGUUGCUUGCCCGGCAUAGGUUGUUGAAAGCUUGUGCUCGAGUUGUGUG